This is a non-coding RNA of Pangasianodon gigas (Mekong giant catfish), 71 nucleotides long. The record is from the annotation of a GenBank genome assembly. Lineage: Eukaryota; Metazoa; Chordata; Actinopteri; Siluriformes; Pangasiidae.
GGCAUGGUGGCUUAGUGGUUAGCACCUUUGCCUCGUACCUCUAGGGUUGGGUUCGAAUCCUGCCUCUGCCC